UCAUCCGUUUCAUUUUUGCCCCAAGAUUGAGCUUGCACUUCUUGGUCACGACCCUCGAUUCUUGUGUUGACUUCCCAUCGUAUGGAAAAAUUUGUCGGACAGCCCCACAUUGCGGACCUCGAAAGUACUCCCCGUGUCCCGGAGGUGUCCCUUGACUUUUGUUGUGGCUGUCUCGGUCCACAGGACAACUGCUCGUGCUCUCGGAUGUGGAAAAUUAAGCGGAAGUGGGGGGUCCUGGCCUCCGAUCGCUCCAAUCAAAAAAGUCCCCUCGAUAAGAAUGACUCUCGCUACCUCACUGACCGCAGGCCGUCUAGGCCCGUGGCAUCAAUGUGGGUCCGAAGUCGAGAAAGAAUGCUUAC
This 359-nucleotide unclassified non-coding RNA is filed under the name Ficus pungens. Its description in RNAcentral is "contains 5' external transcribed spacer, ETS". Lineage: Eukaryota; Viridiplantae; Streptophyta; Magnoliopsida; Rosales; Moraceae. The record is from RNAcentral.